RNAcentral lists this unclassified non-coding RNA (340 nucleotides) under uncultured fungus. RNAcentral describes it as "partial contains 5.8S ribosomal RNA, internal transcribed spacer 2, and large subunit ribosomal RNA". Lineage: Eukaryota; Fungi. The record is from RNAcentral.
AACGCAUAUUGCGCUCUUUGGUAUUCCGAAGAGCAUGCUUGUUUGAGUAUCAGUAAACACCUCAAAGUCUUUUUUUCUUGAAGAAAAGACCUUGGACUUGAGCAAUCCCAACUCUUCUUUCAGAAGAGGCGGGUUGCUUGAAAUGCAGGUGCAGCUGGACAUUCUCCUGAGCUAAAAGCAUAUUCAUUUAGUCCCGUCAAACGGAUUAUUACUUUUGCUGCAGCUAACAUAAAGGGAGUUUGACCAUUUUGGCUGACUGAUGCAGGAAUUUCACAAGAGUCUUCAAAACGCUCUUGUUAAACUCGAUCUCAAAUCAAGUAAGACUACCCGCUGAACUUAA